RNAcentral lists this ribosomal RNA (504 nucleotides) under uncultured bacterium. RNAcentral's name for it is "bacterial SSU rRNA". It matches the Rfam family "Bacterial small subunit ribosomal RNA", at positions 383 to 897 of the family's 1533-position model. The record is from RNAcentral.
CUGAUGCAGCGACGCCGCGUGAGGGAUGACGGCCUUCGGGUUGUAAACCUCUUUCAGCUCUGAAGAAGCGAAAGUGACGGUAGGAGCAGAAGAAGCACCGGCUAACUACGUGCCAGCAGCCGCGGUAAUACGUAGGGUGCGAGCGUUGUCCGGAAUUAUUGGGCGUAAAGAGCUUGUAGGCGGUUUGUCGCGUCUGCUGUGAAAGCCCGGGGCUUAACCCCGGGUCUGCAGUGGGUACGGGCAGGCUAGAGUGUGGUAGGGGAGACUGGAAUUCCUGGUGUAGCGGUGGAAUGCGCAGAUAUCAGGAGGAACACCGAUGGCGAAGGCAGGUCUCUGGGCCAUUACUGACGCUGAGAAGCGAAAGCAUGGGGAGCGAACAGGAUUAGAUACCCUGGUAGUCCAUGCCGUAAACGUUGGGCGCUAGGUGUGGGUCACAUUCCACGUGAUCUGUGCCGCAGCUAACGCAUUAAGCGCCCCGCCUGGGGAGUACGGCCGCAAGGCUAA